Molecule: transfer RNA, 72 nt
Filed under: Marmota marmota marmota (Alpine marmot)
Lineage: Eukaryota; Metazoa; Chordata; Mammalia; Rodentia; Sciuridae
Also listed under: 1 other name
Rfam family: tRNA
About the family: Transfer RNA (tRNA) molecules are approximately 80 nucleotides in length. Their secondary structure includes four short double-helical elements and three loops (D, anti-codon, and T loops). Further hydrogen bonds mediate the characteristic L-shaped molecular structure. tRNAs have two regions of fundamental functional importance: the anti-codon, which is responsible for specific mRNA codon recognition, and the 3' end, to which the tRNAs corresponding amino acid is attached (by aminoacyl-tRNA synthetases). tRNAs cope with the degeneracy of the genetic code in two manners: having more than one tRNA (with a specific anti-codon) for a particular amino acid; and 'wobble' base-pairing, i.e. permitting non-standard base-pairing at the 3rd anti-codon position.
Source: Rfam by way of RNAcentral
AGGGAUGUAGCUCAGAGGUAGAGUGCAUACAUAGCAUGGGGGAGGUCCUGGAUUCUAUUCCCAGCAUCUCCC